This is a small nuclear RNA of Manis javanica (Malayan pangolin), 106 nucleotides long. NCBI's taxonomy places the organism in Eukaryota, Metazoa, Chordata, Mammalia, Pholidota, Manidae. The record is from RefSeq and is a predicted model, not a curated record.
GUGCUCGCUUCAGCACCACAUAUACUAAAAUUGACAAGAUACACAGAGAUUAGCAUGUCUCCUGCACAAGGAUGACACGCAAAUUCAUGAAGCAUUCCAUAAAAAA